AAAUAUAUUUCAAUGACUUCAAUUAAAUCAUGAAGUCGAAUCCUAUAUUUUAAUGUUAAAUGUUGUUACCAGAAUUCUUUGUAUACAUAUUCAGCUUCACUUAUAUGUUUAUUAUAUCUGCAGCCACUUGAUCUGAACCUCGAUGAAGAGACACUUCUUAGACUUGUUCCUUUUUGGAGAAAGUCCCUCGAUAAUAGUCCGAGUCAACCAUAUUACUUUGAUCAUUUUGAAGUACAUCCAAUAAAGAUCAUUGCAAACUUCAUCCCAGGUGAUUCAUCAUAUUCCAGUUAUAGCUCAACCCAGGAAACAUUGAGAUCAUUGGUCCAUAGUGUGAU
Molecule: long non-coding RNA, 335 nt
Organism: Impatiens glandulifera
Lineage: Eukaryota; Viridiplantae; Streptophyta; Magnoliopsida; Ericales; Balsaminaceae
Exons: 2
Source: RefSeq, a predicted model, not a curated record